UUGUGCUAAUACCGGAUGAGCCCUACGGGGGAAAGAUUUAUCGCCGAAGGAGCGGCCCGCGUCUGAUUAGCUAGUUGGUGGGGUAAAGGCCCACCAAGGCUACGAUCAGUAGCUGGUCUGAGAGGAUGAUCAGCCACACUGGGACUGAGACACGGCCCAGACUCCUACGGGAGGCAGCAGUGGGGAAUCUUGCGCAAUGGGCGAAAGCCUGACGCAGCCAUGCCGCGUGGAUGAUGAAGGUCUUAGGAUUGUAAAAUCCUUUCACCGGGGACGAUAAUGACGGUACCCGGAGAAGAAGCCCCGGCUAACUUCGUGCCAGCAGCCGCGGUAAUACGAAGGGGGCUAGCGUUGCUCGGAAUUACUGGGCGUAAAGGGCGCGUAGGCGGGUCGUCAAGUUGGGGGUGAAAGCCCGGGGCUCAACCUCGGAAUUGCCUUCAAAACUGACGACCUAGAGUUUGGGAGAGGUGUGUGGAACUCCGAGUGUAGAGGUGAAAUUCGUAGAUAUUCGGAAGAACACCAGUGGCGAAGGCGACA
RNAcentral lists this ribosomal RNA (534 nucleotides) under Brevundimonas sp. Its description in RNAcentral is "bacterial SSU rRNA". It matches the Rfam family "Bacterial small subunit ribosomal RNA", at positions 158 to 726 of the family's 1533-position model. The record is from RNAcentral. Lineage: Bacteria; Pseudomonadati; Pseudomonadota; Alphaproteobacteria; Caulobacterales; Caulobacteraceae.